GUAGGCAAGAGGAACAACAUCAACUCAUGAGGCAUUCCAAAAGGCUGGCCAUGCAGGGAAGGUCCCUGGAAAGACCCACCCUAAGGUUUGAUCCGGAUUCACGCUGAAUCAACUGCAUUAGUGGAUGUGGCUUUCCCCAGCCAUUCUUACCCAUGACAGCCCCUCCUGUUCCCCUGAAAAUGCUUCACAGAGAAGUCAGGAGACCCUGCUGAAUCAGCCCACAAGAUUUUAUCAUGGGUGUUAACGGAUGAGAGAAGAAUCCAAGCCACAAAACCUGGCUCUUUUCAAGAGUUUGAAAUAUGGCAUUUUAUUGCAUUUGGGUCUGAUUCAUUCUAAAGUUCGGUCCACUUAAGAGGAUUAUGGUGGACUUAGCCUUGCAUCUCAUUUUCAGUAACACCUUGGACAAGAAACCACUCCAGAGUAUCAAGUAGAGCAAAAUGCCUUCUCUCUUCCGAACCUGCACAGACUCUGUGGUCAACAGAUGAGAUGCUUCUAGUGAUUCUGCCUGGACCUACAGCUUGGUUGGAAUCCACCCAGAGCAGAGACUUCAGUGUGGUGGCUCCCUCCCUGCAGAACUCCCUGCCUCUGGAUGUCAGACAGACACCAAUGCUGUUCUGCUUCUGGCAGUUGCUGAAGAAAUUUUUAUUUCAACAAGGCUUCCCUGAUUAACCAGCCACAGUUU
Molecule: long non-coding RNA, 682 nt
Organism: Elgaria multicarinata webbii
Lineage: Eukaryota; Metazoa; Chordata; Lepidosauria; Squamata; Anguidae
Exons: 4
Source: RefSeq, a predicted model, not a curated record